GACGAACGCUGGCGGCGUGCCUAACACAUGCAAGUCAACUUGACUGAAGGAGCAAUCUGACAGUAGAGUGGCGCAAGGGUGCGUAACGCGUAAGUAACUUGCCCCAAGGUAAGGAAUAACGUCGAGAAAUCGGCGCUAAUACCUCAUAAUGCAGCGGAUCCGCAUGGAUAUGUUGUUAAAGGUUUACCGCCUUGGGAUAGGCUUGCGUCUGAUUAGCUAGUUGGUGUGGUAACGGCACACCAAGGCUACGAUCAGUAACUGGUCUGAGAGGAUGAUCAGUCACACUGGAACUGAGACACGGUCCAGACUCCUACGGGAGGCAGCAGUGAGGAAUAUUGGGCAAUGCUCGAAAGAGUGACCCAGCAACGCCGCGUGGAGGAUGAAGGUAUUCUAUAUCGUAAACUCCUGUGAGAGCAGACGAAGACAGAUUAUUAAUCUGGAUGACUGUAUGCUCAGAGGAAGCCCCGGCUAACUACGU
This 478-nucleotide ribosomal RNA is filed under the name uncultured bacterium. RNAcentral describes it as "bacterial SSU rRNA". It matches the Rfam family "Bacterial small subunit ribosomal RNA", at positions 28 to 506 of the family's 1533-position model. The record is from RNAcentral.